ACAAUGAAGAGUUUGAUCCUGGCUCAGGAUGAACGCUAGCUACAGGCUUAACACAUGCAAGUCGAGGGGCAGCAUGGUCUUAGCUUGCUAAGGCCGAUGGCGACCGGCGCACGGGUGAGUAACACGUAUCCAACCUGCCGUCUACUCUUGGACAGCCUUCUGAAAGGAAGAUUAAUACAAGAUGGCAUCAUGAGUCCGCAUGUUCACAUGAUUAAAGGUAUUCCGGUAGACGAUGGGGAUGCGUUCCAUUAGAUAGUAGGCGGGGUAACGGCCCACCUAGUCUUCGAUGGAUAGGGGUUCUGAGAGGAAGGUCCCCCACAUUGGAACUGAGACACGGUCCAAACUCCUACGGGAGGCAGCAGUGAGGAAUAUUGGUCAAUGGGCGAGAGCCUGAACCAGCCAAGUAGCGUGAAGGAUGACUGCCCUAUGGGUUGUAAACUUCUUUUAUAAAGGAAUAAAGUCGGGUAUGCAUACCCGUUUGCAUGUACUUUAUGAAUAAGGAUCGGCUAACUCCGUGCCAGCAGCCGCGGUAAUACGGAGGAUCCGAGCGUUAUCCGGAUUUAUUGGGUUUAAAGGGAGCGUAGAUGGAUGUUUAAGUCAGUUGUGAAAGUUUGCGGCUCAACCGUAAAAUUGCAGUUGAUACUGGAUAUCUUGAGUGCAGUUGAGGCAGGCGGAAUUCGUGGUGUAGCGGUGAAAUGCUUAGAUAUCACGAAGAACUCCGAUUGCGAAGGCAGCCUGCUAAGCUGCAACUGACAUUGAGGCUCGAAAGUGUGGGUAUCAAACAGGAUUAGAUACCCUGGUAGUCCACACGGUAAACGAUGAAUACUCGCUGUUUGCGAUAUACUGCAAGCGGCCAAGCGAAAGCGUUAAGUAUUCCACCUGGGGAGUACGCCGGCAACGGUGAAACUCAAAGGAAUUGACGGGGGCCCGCACAAGCGGAGGAACAUGUGGUUUAAUUCGAUGAUACGCGAGGAACCUUACCCGGGCUUAAAUUGCAGAUGAAUUACGGUGAAAGCCGUAAGCCGCAAGGCAUCUGUGAAGGUGCUGCAUGGUUGUCGUCAGCUCGUGCCGUGAGGUGUCGGCUUAAGUGCCAUAACGAGCGCAACCCUUGUUGUCAGUUACUAACAGGUUCCGCUGAGGACUCUGACAAGACUGCCAUCGUAAGAUGUGAGGAAGGUGGGGAUGACGUCAAAUCAGCACGGCCCUUACGUCCGGGGCUACACACGUGUUACAAUGGGGGGUACAGAGGGCCGCUACCACGCGAGUGGAUGCCAAUCCCCAAAACCUCUCUCAGUUCGGACUGGAGUCUGCAACCCGACUCCACGAAGCUGGAUUCGCUAGUAAUCGCGCAUCAGCCACGGCGCGGUGAAUACGUUCCCGGGCCUUGUACACACCGCCCGUCAAGCCAUGGGAGCCGGGGGUACCUGAAGUGCGUAACCGCGAGGAGCGCCCUAGGGUAAAACUGGUGACUGGGGCUAAGUCGUAACAAGGUAGCCGUACCGGAAGGUGCGGCUGGAACACCUCCUUU
This 1528-nucleotide ribosomal RNA is filed under the name Phocaeicola vulgatus. RNAcentral describes it as "bacterial SSU rRNA". It matches the Rfam family "Bacterial small subunit ribosomal RNA". The record is from RNAcentral. Lineage: Bacteria; Pseudomonadati; Bacteroidota; Bacteroidia; Bacteroidales; Bacteroidaceae.